UCAGGAUGAACGCUGGCGGCGUGCUUAACACAUGCAAGUCGAACGAUGAAGCCCAGCUUGCUGGGUGGAUUAGUGGCGAACGGGUGAGUAACACGUGAGUAACCUGCCCUUAACUCUGGGAUAAGCCUGGGAAACUGGGUCUAAUACCGGAUAGGAGCGCCUACCGCAUGGUGGGUGUUGGAAAGAUUUAUCGGUUUUGGAUGGACUCGCGGCCUAUCAGCUUGUUGGUGAGGUAAUGGCUCACCAAGGCGACGACGGGUAGCCGGCCUGAGAGGGUGACCGGCCACACUGGGACUGAGACACGGCCCAGACUCCUACGGGAGGCAGCAGUGGGGAAUAUUGCACAAUGGGCGCAAGCCUGAUGCAGCGACGCCGCGUGAGGGAUGACGGCCUUCGGGUUGUAAACCUCUUUCAGUAGGGAAGAAGCGAAAGUGACGGUACCUGCAGAAGAAGCACCGGCUAACUACGUGCCAGCAGCCGCGGUAAUACGUAGGGUGCGAGCGUUAUCCGGAAUUAUUGGGCGUAAAGAGCUCGUAGGCGGUUUGUCGCGUCUGUCGUGAAAGUCCGGGGCUUAACCCCGGAUCUGCGGUGGGUACGGGCAGACUAGAGUGCAGUAGGGGAGACUGGAAUUCCUGGUGUAGCGGUGGAAUGCGCAGAUAUCAGGAGGAACACCGAUGGCGAAGGCAGGUCUCUGGGCUGUAACUGACGCUGAGGAGCGAAAGCAUGGGGAGCGAACAGGAUUAGAUACCCUGGUAGUCCAUGCCGUAAACGUUGGGCACUAGGUGUGGGGACCAUUCCACGGUUUCCGCGCCGCAGCUAACGCAUUAAGUGCCCCGCCUGGGGAGUACGGCCGCAAGGCUAAAACUCAAAGGAAUUGACGGGGGCCCGCACAAGCGGCGGAGCAUGCGGAUUAAUUCGAUGCAACGCGAAGAACCUUACCAAGGCUUGACAUGUUCUCGAUCGCCGUAGAGAUACGGUUUCCCCUUUGGGGCGGGUUCACAGGUGGUGCAUGGUUGUCGUCAGCUCGUGUCGUGAGAUGUUGGGUUAAGUCCCGCAACGAGCGCAACCCUCGUUCCAUGUUGCCAGCACGUAGUGGUGGGGACUCAUGGGAGACUGCCGGGGUCAACUCGGAGGAAGGUGAGGACGACGUCAAAUCAUCAUGCCCCUUAUGUCUUGGGCUUCACGCAUGCUACAAUGGCCGGUACAAUGGGUUGCGA
RNAcentral lists this ribosomal RNA (1217 nucleotides) under Micrococcus luteus. RNAcentral describes it as "bacterial SSU rRNA". It matches the Rfam family "Bacterial small subunit ribosomal RNA", at positions 24 to 1252 of the family's 1533-position model. The record is from RNAcentral. Lineage: Bacteria; Bacillati; Actinomycetota; Actinomycetes; Micrococcales; Micrococcaceae.